ACACAGUCAUGGACAAUUUUGUAUCUCCAAUUCAUCUUACUUGGAGCUCCCGCAGGAAACCCAUGCAGACACUGGGAGAACAUGCAAACUCCACAUAGAAAGGACCCGGAUCGCCCCAUUUUGGGAUUGAACCCAGGACCUUUUUGCUGUGAGGUGACAGUGCUACCCACCGAGCCACCGUGCCGCCCUUUGAUGUCAAGACUAAAGGGCUCUGAUGGGUCUGGUGCCAUCUGAGCACACCGGGUGCAGGGGGUGCAUACACCCUGUACCAGGAGCCAAUCAACAGACAACUCACCCACACAUUUACACCUGCUAUAAUUCAAUCAUUCAUAAAUUCAUUGUCUGUUUUUCUGUUUAUUACUGAAUUACACUGUCAACAUGCCAAAACGAAAAAAAAAAAAAACAUACGGCUCUGAGUGGUUGGCUCACCACCCUUUUAUUUCGAAGAGUAGGAAUAAUAAAUGUAAUGCUUGCAUCACAAUUAUAUCAAUUAAGGUUUUAAUUGUGUGUGCUGCAGACACUAUCCUGACUACCCACUGUCAUGCCCUUCUUUUUGGGGUCCGAUGUACUCUUUCUUGGGGUAAUGUAAGUGGCCACCGUAUACUUAAGGCCCUACCUAAUUCAUGGCUGUGAAAAUUGCAUUACGGACUGUGAAAUGAACCGUUUCCCAUGUAACGUGCAAUUGGCUGUAAAAGUCAAAAUUUAAGGUUUGUGUAUGCAAUUAUACGGUAACAGUGUAACAGACA
Trichomycterus rosablanca is the source of this 746-nucleotide long non-coding RNA. RefSeq lists it as uncharacterized. The transcript has 2 exons. NCBI's taxonomy places the organism in Eukaryota, Metazoa, Chordata, Actinopteri, Siluriformes, Trichomycteridae. The record is from RefSeq and is a predicted model, not a curated record.